RNAcentral lists this ribosomal RNA (1244 nucleotides) under uncultured Acinetobacter sp. Its description in RNAcentral is "bacterial SSU rRNA". It matches the Rfam family "Bacterial small subunit ribosomal RNA", at positions 77 to 1316 of the family's 1533-position model. Lineage: Bacteria; Pseudomonadati; Pseudomonadota; Gammaproteobacteria; Moraxellales; Moraxellaceae. The record is from RNAcentral.
AGCUUGCUACCUAACCUAGCGGCGGACGGGUGAGUAAUGCUUAGGAAUCUGCCUAUUAGUGGGGGACAACAUUCCGAAAGGAAUGCUAAUACCGCAUACGCCCUACGGGGGAAAGCAGGGGAUCUUCGGACCUUGCGCUAAUAGAUGAGCCUAAGUCAGAUUAGCUAGUUGGUGGGGUAAAGGCCUACCAAGGCGACGAUCUGUAGCGGGUCUGAGAGGAUGAUCCGCCACACUGGGACUGAGACACGGCCCAGACUCCUACGGGAGGCAGCAGUGGGGAAUAUUGGACAAUGGGCGAAAGCCUGAUCCAGCCAUGCCGCGUGUGUGAAGAAGGCCUUUUGGUUGUAAAGCACUUUAAGCGAGGAGGAGGCUACCGAGAUUAAUACUCUUGGAUAGUGGACGUUACUCGCAGAAUAAGCACCGGCUAACUCUGUGCCAGCAGCCGCGGUAAUACAGAGGGUGCGAGCGUUAAUCGGAUUUACUGGGCGUAAAGCGUGCGUAGGCGGCUUUUUAAGUCGGAUGUGAAAUCCCUGAGCUUAACUUAGGAAUUGCAUUCGAUACUGGGAAGCUAGAGUAUGGGAGAGGAUGGUAGAAUUCCAGGUGUAGCGGUGAAAUGCGUAGAGAUCUGGAGGAAUACCGAUGGCGAAGGCAGCCAUCUGGCCUAAUACUGACGCUGAGGUACGAAAGCAUGGGGAGCAAACAGGAUUAGAUACCCUGGUAGUCCAUGCCGUAAACGAUGUCUACUAGCCGUUGGGGCCUUUGAGGCUUUAGUGGCGCAGCUAACGCGAUAAGUAGACCGCCUGGGGAGUACGGUCGCAAGACUAAAACUCAAAUGAAUUGACGGGGGCCCGCACAAGCGGUGGAGCAUGUGGUUUAAUUCGAUGCAACGCGAAGAACCUUACCUGGUCUUGACAUAGUAAGAACUUUCCAGAGAUGGAUUGGUGCCUUCGGGAACUUACAUACAGGUGCUGCAUGGCUGUCGUCAGCUCGUGUCGUGAGAUGUUGGGUUAAGUCCCGCAACGAGCGCAACCCUUUUCCUUAUUUGCCAGCGGGUUAAGCCGGGAACUUUAAGGAUACUGCCAGUGACAAACUGGAGGAAGGCGGGGACGACGUCAAGUCAUCAUGGCCCUUACGACCAGGGCUACACACGUGCUACAAUGGUCGGUACAAAGGGUUGCUACCUAGCGAUAGGAUGCUAAUCUCAAAAAGCCGAUCGUAGUCCGGAUUGGAGUCUGCAACUCGAC